This 502-nucleotide ribosomal RNA is filed under the name uncultured bacterium. Its description in RNAcentral is "bacterial SSU rRNA". It matches the Rfam family "Bacterial small subunit ribosomal RNA", at positions 37 to 571 of the family's 1533-position model. The record is from RNAcentral.
UGGCGGCGUGCCUAACACAUGCAAGUCGAACGAGAAAGUGGAGCAAUCCAUGAGUACAGUGGCGUACGGGUGAGUAACACGUGACUAACCUACCCUCGAGUGGGGAAUAACUUCGGGAAACCGAGGCUAAUACCGCAUAACAUCUACGGAUCAAAUGCGCAAGCAGCUUGAGGAGGGGGUCGCGGCUGAUUAUCUAGUUGGCGGGGUAACGGCCCACCAAGGCAAUGAUCAGUAGCCGGCCUGAGAGGGCGCACGGCCACACUGGAACUGAAACACGGUCCAGACUCCUACGGGAGGCAGCAGUGGGGAAUUUUGCGCAAUGGGGGAAACCCUGACGCAGCAACGCCGCGUGGAGGAUGAAGCCCCUUGGGGUGUAAACUCCUUUCGAUCGGGACGAUUAUGACGGUACCGGAUGAAGAAGCACCGGCUAACUCUGUGCCAGCAGCCGCGGUAAUACAGAGGGUGCAAGCGUUGUUCGGAAUUAUUGGGCGUANAGGGUGCG